AGAGUUUGAUCAUGGCUCAGGACGAACGCUGGCGGCGUGCUUAACACAUGCAAGUCGAACGGAAAGGCCCUUCGGGGUACUCGAGUGGCGAACGGGUGAGUAACACGUGGGUGAUCUGCCCUGCACUCUGGGAUAAGCCUGGGAAACUGGGUCUAAUACCGGAUAGGACCGCAUGCUUCAUGGUGUGUGGUGCAAAGCUUUUGCGGUGUGGGAUGAGCCCGCGGCCUAUCAGCUUGUUGGUGGGGUAAUGGCCCACCAAGGCGACGACGGGUAGCCGGCCUGAGAGGGUGACCGGCCACACUGGGACUGAGAUACGGCCCAGACUCCUACGGGAGGCAGCAGUGGGGAAUAUUGCACAAUGGGCGCAAGCCUGAUGCAGCGACGCCGCGUGAGGGAUGACGGCCUUCGGGUUGUAAACCUCUUUCAGUAGGGACGAAGCGAAAGUGACGGUACCUACAGAAGAAGGACCGGCCAACUACGUGCCAGCAGCCGCGGUAAUACGUAGGGUCCGAGCGUUGUCCGGAAUUACUGGGCGUAAAGAGCUCGUAGGUGGUUUGUCGCGUUGUUCGUGAAAACUCACAGCUUAACUGUGGGCGUGCGGGCGAUACGGGCAGACUAGAGUACUGCAGGGGAGACUGGAAUUCCUGGUGUAGCGGUGGAAUGCGCAGAUAUCAGGAGGAACACCGGUGGCGAAGGCGGGUCUCUGGGCAGUAACUGACGCUGAGGAGCGAAAGCGUGGGGAGCGAACAGGAUUAGAUACCCUGGUAGUCCAA
RNAcentral lists this ribosomal RNA (773 nucleotides) under uncultured bacterium. RNAcentral describes it as "bacterial SSU rRNA". It matches the Rfam family "Bacterial small subunit ribosomal RNA", at positions 8 to 798 of the family's 1533-position model. The record is from RNAcentral.